This 558-nucleotide long non-coding RNA is filed under the name Capsicum annuum. Its description in RNAcentral is "long non-coding RNA (CANN_LNC009395)". The record is from RNAcentral. Lineage: Eukaryota; Viridiplantae; Streptophyta; Magnoliopsida; Solanales; Solanaceae.
GUAGUGAGAUAUUUUCUCUCGAUCAUCUCUCCUUACCUUCUUCCCUAGAUGAACUAGAAGCUAUAAUUGCUUAAUUUCUUAAUUGUGGUCUAUAAAUAACCACCCUAUUAUAUAUUUUUAUAGAUAUAUAAAAGUAGUUAAACAAAAGUAUUAUUAAAAUUUUCUAAAGUUGUCUUCUUUUUUUAAGUUUGAUAUUAAUAUUUAUCUUUAUUUAUAUAAUACUUUAUCAGCAUAAGAUUCUACUGUCUCAAAAUUUGAAGGUUAAGAAAAAAUAUUGGAUCAAAAAGUGUGGAGGCAAGAGCACAAGAACUAUGGGAUCAUCACGAUUUAGAUUUCAUCUUUUACUAUUUAUGAUAAGUAUAUUAUUAACUCAUGUUAUUUAAUUAAGUUUGAAAAGAACAUCGAUAAUCACAAAAUGGUGAUAUUGUUAUAGGCACAGUUUAUUAUACUUUGGCCUAAUAUGUUAUUGACCGUGAUGAUGGAUUUAAGUCUCAUGUCAUUAAGAGGAUAAGAUAUCGGGUUAAAGUCUCGAUGCACCAUGAUGAUAAGAUAUUGGGU